CGGGUGAGUAACGCGUGGAUAACCUGCCGUAUGCAGGGGGAUACCAACUGGAAACAGUUGCUAAUACCGCAUAAGCGCACAGCACCGCAUGGUGCAGUGUGAAAAGAUUUAUCGGCAUACGAUAGAUCCGCGUCCGAUUAGCCAGUUGGCGGGGUAGAAGCCCACCAAAGCGACGAUCGGUAGCCGGCCUGAGAGGGCGGACGGCCACAUUGGGACUGAGACACGGCCCAAACUCCUACGGAAGGCAGCAG
This 251-nucleotide ribosomal RNA is filed under the name uncultured bacterium. RNAcentral describes it as "partial 16S ribosomal RNA". It matches the Rfam family "Bacterial small subunit ribosomal RNA", at positions 103 to 354 of the family's 1533-position model. The record is from RNAcentral.